This is a non-coding RNA of Dermacentor andersoni, 326 nucleotides long. The record is from RefSeq and is a predicted model, not a curated record. NCBI's taxonomy places the organism in Eukaryota, Metazoa, Arthropoda, Arachnida, Ixodida, Ixodidae.
ACUGCGUUGGUGUCAAAUAGCGGUUCUGGGCCGAGUAACAUUACCGGAUGUAGGGGGAUGUGCUGCCGGUAUGCUAGGGAAAAAUGUUUCCUUCUUUCAGGUUCGGCUGCCCGACACUCCAGGAGGACGUGCAGGACGGUCAGCCUCUCCCCGCAUCUACCGCAGGUUGGAGGAUCAUUUUCAGGUGCAGUACACCGGAUUCCGAGAAGGAUGGACCAAUGGCUGCGUAGGACACCCCGGCAUGCGACUUAGAAGCGUCUGUGUAAAACUCUGUGCACGAGUACUUGUACUGGAGCUCCAAGAAAUGCAUUUUGAUAUGUGUCUCU